Molecule: RNA transcript, 1253 nt
Organism: Vigna angularis (adzuki bean)
Lineage: Eukaryota; Viridiplantae; Streptophyta; Magnoliopsida; Fabales; Fabaceae
Exons: 8
Source: RefSeq, a predicted model, not a curated record
CAAAAUUGUUGAAUUCAAACUGGUAGUCUGGUACUCAACAUCAUUUUAUUUUUUAGAAAAUUUGAAAAUCUCAUUGCCUGUAAAAGAAAAAUAUAUAUAAAGAAGAAGAAAAUAGGAUUUUGAGGCUGUGUUGGCGCGAGAAGAUACUGCUUCAACGUCGAUCUGAUUCACGGAAAAUGGGUUCAAACCCGCCGUUUGUUCUCGAGAUCGGACCCGAUGGUAUUCCCAAAGAAGCUUCGGUUAUCAGUUACACAGAACAGAUAAUCGAAGCAGAGCAACUUCAAUUGAAGAAAUACAUUGAGGAAAACUAUUCUAAAAUUCGUGAUGUGGAGCGUGAGCUUGCAAAUCUGGGAUUGGAGAUGAAACUUACAUCUGGACCAAAGAAAGCAGCGUUGGAACAUAUGAGAACAAAGAUAGAGGCAUCAACAGAGAAAAUUCGUGUGGCAAAGCUAAAGGAAGAACAGGCACAUAAGGCGUGGGAAUCAGCAUCCAAAGCAGUGAGGGAUGAAGAGCAAAUAAAGCAGAAAUUAUGUGAAGACUUAAGUAAACUGGUAGAAGAGAGCAAUAACUCUCAGUUGUCUAGGCUGGAGGAAUUAAAAAGACGAUUGGAAGCUAUGAAUCCAAACCGGCAGUCAAGUAGUCUUCACAGUGCUGGGAGAUCAAGUUCUCUGGAUAGUGCAAUCCAAGAUGGCUCCUCCCUUCCCAGCACAAGGGAAUCAAAUGAAGGUUCGGCUGUGAAUGUUCCGUACCAAAAUAAUGGUCCGAAAGUUCCAGCGGCCAAUGAGCAUAAACCGCAGCCUCCUAGUGAAGGAGAACAAAGAAAUAGAAAGAAAGUUAACCUAAGAGGUAAAGGAAUUGGUGCAGUGCCCAAGACUAGGUCUUCAACUCCUGACUGGACUGGUUCUGGUUUUAAUGUAGAUGGCAGAAAUUAAUGGUACUAUGGUAAUGCGUUACUGCACCAGAUACAUUUGGUUGAGAAGUCUUUACGAUCUGCGGAAGCUGCCUUUGCUUCAUAGACAUCUCCAGGUCCAGUGCCUGUUUGCUUCAAAAGCUUCCGAAGAAAACUUUUUAAAAUGACAACUUUCAAAUUUAUCAUGGUGGGGAUGAAACUAAUUUCCUCUUUCUCUAUGCAAUAAGUUUGUUGUUCAAAUGUUGGUUCAAUUGUCUAUAUGCGAUUUUAGUAGCAUAAGUUUGAUUCGGUUCUCUGUAUGUCAAAAAGUAAUUCUAGAUUAAGCUUAAUUAUUUGAACUUAA